This 3927-nucleotide long non-coding RNA is filed under the name Gallus gallus (chicken). RNAcentral's name for it is "lncRNA (ENSGALG00010003162.1)". The record is from RNAcentral. Lineage: Eukaryota; Metazoa; Chordata; Aves; Galliformes; Phasianidae.
CUGACACAAAUGGGUCUGCUCUGCUCUUAUAUAUGUAUUCUGUAACUUAUGCAUAAGUACUCCUCCAUGCAUCAUAAAUUCUGUUGACCAUGAUAUGCCAAAAAUAAGUUUUUUUAAAAAACAAAGUCCGUGAAUGUUUUUGGCUCUUGCAUUUUCACGCUGAUGUAUCUCUAUAUGUGCUUUAAGGUUAACUCUUUUUGCUUGGGAUUGUUUGGACAAGUGCUUUGUUGGAUUGAAACUCUACCAUUUAUUGAAGAGGAUUUUUCAAGGAAAAGGCAAUGAAGACCACUUCCAAACCAUUCAUCACAGAGCUUUUGCAUGGGCUUCAUAUGCUGCCGUUGUCACUCUGGAAUUGCUGGAUCAGCUUGAAAAAAAUGAAGCGUGUAGAGGUCCUCGUAACAGACAGAAAAGGAGGGGUUUGUGGGAUGAGGCGCAGGCAUGAAAGACACUGGUGGGAGACAAAAACGACAACUGGAUUACAGCUGCCUGCUGGGCAAAUUGCUGGCUGAAAGGACGUCGCUGCAUAUACAGAUGCCUCAGCAUCUACAGUCGCUGUAUGAAGGCUGCUUACCCCAGCUUCCGUUCUGCACAGCUACAAAGGGAGCAGAAUGGCAAAAGGAGCACAGUCCCAUGCUCCCAAACACACCUCCUAAACACCCAUGGGCAGCAGCGCCAGGGAGCAUCAAGUUGUUCCCAGGAAGCAGUCAUGGCUCUGGGUUGUUAGUGACUGCUGCACGUUGGCUUGGUGGUCAUUUGGCAUUGGCGGCCCGUGGCACUGAGUGCCACAGCACUGCGCAGCUGAGUGUUGGAAGUCCCCACUGGCAAUAUCAUGCUCUCUGCUCCAUCUAUGGAGAUGGAUGAGUCCAAGUGGAUCAGCACGUCCUCAGGCACAAAUGCGGUGCUUCACAACAGCUAUCGAUAGUGCUUCCCCGUGCUGAAGGAAAAUGGGAACCUGCAACACUGGCAUUACAUCACAGGCAGUGGCUGGUUAUUGAUGUCAUCAUUCCUGUCACUUGCCUGAUAUAUACUGCCUGCAGUGACUUACCUCCGAUCUAUAGAGGCUGGCUCCUGGAGGUCUGCCUUCCAGUUAGCAGCGCCGGCGAGCAGCAGCACCUGUGUCUCCACGCCAGACAGCUGGCACGCUCCAUGCAUGCCACCGCGCACCAUCUGUGCCACACAUCACGUGCCAGUUACGUGACUGGGGAGAGUCAGGAGGAAGAAAAAUAUUUGCUUCCAUGAAUCCUCCUACUGAGUAAAGUUCUUGUAGCAGAAGUUUUCCAGUUCCUGAGGAUGCUGCUGACUGCCUUUCCUUUCUUGCUUAAGUCUCCACAGUGCUGAAAAUGAAGUCCAAGAUGUGUGUUCUGCACGUUUGCCAUUGCAACUCGAGGAGACAGAGCUCAGAUGAAGUUCCAGCUAGGCAAGAGACCAAAGUUCACCCUACCCACAGCACUGCAGAUUGCUGCACAGCCCCAUCUUUGUGCACUGGAGAAGCAAAGCACGCGAGGAGGGAGCGCGCUCCCAGCUGCCAGGGGCUGACAACCGAAAGGUGCAAUAUGGGACAAAGCAGAGCACAGAGAGUGAUGUGGGAACGUUAACACUUGUAAGCUAACAGAUGUGCAGGAAUGUCCUCGGCUCGCCAUCGCUUUUCUCUCCAGCAGAAUAUGACUGACAACAGAACACCAGGGAACAGCUGGGUCGAAACGCAUAAUAUUUUCCUGCUAGAGAAGGAUGCUGAUUAGGCUGCGGAGUACCUAAUUGGGUCUUGGCCUUGAAUGAUGGAAAACUAAAGCCAGGAGGAGCACACCAAUGAGCAGCACCAUGUUACCAGCAGAGGUUCGGUGGCUGGAGGAGCGGAACAUUAGCACAUCCCUAAGGCCAGGAAGUUCAUAUGAAGUUUCUGAACCUCCACUUCGGCCCUUAGGGAGAAACAGCCCGGAAAUAAGAUGCGGACAAUGGCAGUUCCAACCCAACCCAUGACCUCUGCCUUGAAACAUGGUGGGUCAGCCAGGAGGUGAGGAGGUGGGGUAAAGCAGAUGAGCUGGAUGAGGAAUACGGUGACAAACUAACUGGUGGGAAGAAGUUGCAGAACAGUGGAGAUCCCACCGCCAUUCAGCCAUGAUGGAGGACGUGUUUUCAGACACAGCCCACUCCUCCUGCCAAUUUGCUGGGGUUGCAGAAGAAAGAGGAGGAAGAGGAGAAGGAGGAGUGGCCAGUGGUGGUGGUUGCUCUGGCUGCAGCAGCUGUGGAGGCCCUGCUAAUACAGUAACUUCCUUAUCUCAGGAAACCCAAGUGGCUCCAACAAGAGAAACAGAGUAGGACAAUCCAGGAGAAGACAGCUGACUGCAGUGUUUACUAGACUGCGGAAUAGACAACUUACAUUGUUAAAAUUGAUCAGAACAUGUUCCACUGGAACUAAGCAGAUAAGAAUUACUUCAUUCUUUUUUGCCCCUGAGCACCCUAGGAGACCUGUGUUGGAUCUGGGCUUUGUCUGCUUGAAAAAGUGGAAGGGUUGACCUGCUGAAGGGAGAGCCACCAAAGCGCUCCAACAUUACUAUGGUCUUAUAAUGCCUGAGACAGAUCACAAGAUUAACUCUUAUAAUCAACAACAAGAUCAUCAAUUUGUACACUAUAUAAAUUAAAGUGCAUGCAUAUAAAUCUGCAACCUUGAAUAAUACUGUCACAGCUUCUGCUUUGUUUGUUUUGUGCAGCUUCUUGCUUUGACCAUUUCUUGCUUUGACCAUGAAUAUGCCUGCUGGGUCUGGUGCAUGAAAUCCCUUCCAAGUCCUCCCUUUUGCUUCACGAUGAUGCAGAAGGUGACUCUUCAGUCCUUCCCUCCUCUGCUGCCUCCCCCCUCAGACCCAAAUAAACAAAUAAGCGCUGCCAAGAGCUUUUCAGCUGGUGUCCUUUGCUGCCUUCCCUCCUCAGCCAUCCCCUGCGCUGAAAGCAAUGCUUUCCAGCACGUCUCUUCUCAUUCUUCUGCCUUUGCUCGCUGGUUGUUAUAUCACACUAUUUUUAAUUAUAUCUUGAUUUUCGUAACAUUAUUGUAUGUUGUUAUGUUUCUAGAAUGCAAACGUGAGCGUAAUGGGAUCUAUUUUUCAGAGUUGCCAAAACAAAUUAAGGAAAACGCUCGGCUCUUCCUUUGCCAAAUGUUUUAGUGCUUUUCCGUGAAAGCAAAUCUUAUUUCUAACUGUAUAUUAAGCCUUAAGUAAAUAAUGCAGUCUGUCAGAAGCAAAUUCUAUUGUAAAAGCAGUAACUGUUCCCAGGCUUUGCCUGUGAUGCCCGCACGCUGCUCUGCCCGGGAAGGACUGGGCUAGCAAUGAAUUACUGCUCAUUUCAAUCUGCCUUUCACAGAAACGUCUAACUUUUUUGUUUACACUGGACCCAGAUCCCAUAAAUAUGGAGUAUCUGUUGCGGCCGCUCCACGUCUGCCCAGCGAUUACUUCUGGCGUGUUUGGGAAACAAGACGUCCUUUCUUAACAAAAGACUCAAUCUACAAAGGCCGCAAAACAAAAAUUGAUUAAAGUUGAACCGUAGUAUGAAAGUUUACUUCGGUGUAUCAAAUAGCCCGCUGAACUCCAUGAUUUUGACUAGAGGUGACAGCUGAAAAGCACCAGAAACCCUUGGAAUUUCAGAUCUAUAUAUUACUAUAAAGGAAGAAAAUAAAGUUCCGCUAGUAGAAGUUUGGCAUGUAUUUACAAACAGCAUGGCGGGAUGUCUGCAGUGAAAUGCUCCCAGCCCUGUGAUCUCCUGGUAAAGAAGUGUCUUUUCACCGGAAUGAAUGCAUUCUCCUGCAAUUGAGGGAGCCAGGCUGACUUUUUCACCCUGUUGAAUAUUUGGAGUGCUGCCCUUACCUGCACAGCACCACGGGGCAGGCUCAGAGCCUCCCCGAUCGCUGCAAGGCCAGAGGCUGACUGAAGGCCCAUUCAC